GUGCCAGCCGCCGCGGUAAUACGUAUGGUGCGAACGUUGUUCGGAAUCACUGGGCUUAAAGCGGGCGUAGGCGGUUCGGUAAGUCCGUUGUGAAAGCCCUCGGCUCAACCGAGGAACUGCAACGGAUACUGCCGGGCUAGAGUGCAGGAGGGGAGAGUGGAAUUCCUGGUGGAGCGGUGAAAUGCGUAGAUAUCAGGAGGAACGCCGGUGGCGAAAGCGACUCUCUGGCCUGUUACUGACGCUGAGGCCCGAAAGCUAGGGGAGCAAACGGGAUUAGAUACCCCGGUAGACCUAGCCCUAAACGAUGGGCACUAGGUAGAGGGCGUUCCGAUACGUUCUCUGCCGAAGCUAACGUAAUUAGUGCCCCGCCUGGGGAGUAUAGUCGCAAGGCUAAA
Molecule: ribosomal RNA, 395 nt
Filed under: uncultured bacterium
Lineage: Bacteria
Description: bacterial SSU rRNA
Rfam family: Bacterial small subunit ribosomal RNA
Source: RNAcentral